RNAcentral lists this ribosomal RNA (631 nucleotides) under Microbacterium sp. So3Pw_2814. Its description in RNAcentral is "bacterial SSU rRNA". It matches the Rfam family "Bacterial small subunit ribosomal RNA", at positions 380 to 1020 of the family's 1533-position model. Lineage: Bacteria; Bacillati; Actinomycetota; Actinomycetes; Micrococcales; Microbacteriaceae. The record is from RNAcentral.
AGCCUGAUGCAGCAACGCCGCGUGAGGGACGACGGCCUUCGGGUUGUAAACCUCUUUUAGCAGGGAAGAAGCGAAAGUGACGGUACCUGCAGAAAAAGCACCGGCUAACUACGUGCCAGCAGCCGCGGUAAUACGUAGGGUGCAAGCGUUAUCCGGAAUUAUUGGGCGUAAAGAGCUCGUAGGCGGUUUGUCGCGUCUGCUGUGAAACCCCGAGGCUCAACCUCGGGCCUGCAGUGGGUACGGGCAGACUAGAGUGCGGUAGGGGAGAUUGGAAUUCCUGGUGUAGCGGUGGAAUGCGCAGAUAUCAGGAGGAACACCGAUGGCGAAGGCAGAUCUCUGGGCCGUAACUGACGCUGAGGAGCGAAAGGGUGGGGAGCAAACAGGCUUAGAUACCCUGGUAGUCCACCCCGUAAACGUUGGGAACUAGUUGUGGGGUCCAUUCCACGGAUUCCGUGACGCAGCUAACGCAUUAAGUUCCCCGCCUGGGGAGUACGGCCGCAAGGCUAAAACUCAAAGGAAUUGACGGGGACCCGCACAAGCGGCGGAGCAUGCGGAUUAAUUCGAUGCAACGCGAAGAACCUUACCAAGGCUUGACAUAUACGAGAACGGGCUAGAAAUAGUCAACUCUUUG